GUGGUGGCUCAAUGGAAGAGUGCUUGCCUCACAUGUGUGAGGCACUGGGUUCAAUUCUCAGCACCACA
This 68-nucleotide transfer RNA is filed under the name Marmota monax (woodchuck). It matches the Rfam family "tRNA". From Rfam's summary of the family: Transfer RNA (tRNA) molecules are approximately 80 nucleotides in length. Their secondary structure includes four short double-helical elements and three loops (D, anti-codon, and T loops). Lineage: Eukaryota; Metazoa; Chordata; Mammalia; Rodentia; Sciuridae. The record is from Rfam by way of RNAcentral.